AAAAGUAUUUGACAGUUACCUACUAAUUUAACUUCUCUUACUUACUAAAAAUAUAGCAACUUGUAUACAAAAGAAAGCUGGCAUACCAGCUAUUACAUCAGUCAAUCUUUCCUACUAACUUAGCUAACUCAUUACAAAGAUUUAGACUAAGUUCCAUAGGAACAAAUAUUCAAAAAGUAAUUUUAUAACUGAACCAACUCCAUUUCUUUGCUACAAAACAGUAUAGCAGCUCAAAUUGUACAAUUUGCUGCUGUUGGUCUUUUGACCAAUUUGUUGCUGUUGGUUCUUUGUUGCAAUGCAGGCCACGGCUUCAACACUCCUCCUUGGUCUGUAUGCAACAAACACCAAUCCUUUCCUUCAAAGCAUUAAAUCGGUUGGCUCCCAAUGGUUUAGUUAAAAUGUCAGCUAGCUGAAUUUCUGAGCUGCAAUGAACUAAGCUAACCUCCCUAGAUUGCUCAGCUUCUCUAACAAAAUGGAAUUUGAUUUUGAAGUGUUUAGUCUUACCAUGGAAGACUGGAUUCUUGGCUAUGGCCACAGCUGAUUGAUUAUCCACUCUAAUCUCAGUAGGCUGAACUUGACUUUCAUUCAAAUCAUCCAAAAUCUUCCUAAGCCAAAUGGCUUGGUUCACAGCUGCUGCAGCUGAGAUAUACUCAGCCUCUGCUGUAGAUUGUGCAACAGUUUGUUGCUUCUUGGAACUCCAGCUGAAAACACUCGAGCCUAAGGUAAAAAAAUAACCUGAAGUGCUCCUCAUGUCAUCAACUGACCCUGUCCAAUCGCUAUCAGAAUAGCCUACGAGUUUCAGCUCCCUUGCCCUCCAAAACUUCACACCAGUAUCGAUGGUUCCUUUGACAUACCUUAACACUCUUUUUGCUGCCUUCAGAUGUGCCACAUUACUGCAGUGCAUAAACCUUGAAAGUAGACUAACAGCAUAGACAAUGUCUGGUCUAGUUGCUGUUAAAUAAAGCAAACAACCAAUUAAGCUUCUAUAUGCCUUCUCAUCUACUCGAUCAUGUUCACUGGCACUUGACAAUUUUUCUCCCAAUGCAACUGGUGUAGUGACUGAUUUGCAUUUCAACAUGCAAAAUUUUUCAAGCACCUUGGAAGCAAAUGUUUGCUGACUUAUGAAAAUGCCAUCACUUCCUUGUUUUAUCUCCAUGCCAAGAAAGUAGGUCAUCAGACCAAGGUCAGUCAUCUCAAAGACAUGUUGCAUCUGUUUCUUGAAGUCUUCAAUAAGUUCAUCUUUGCAGCCAAUAACCAACAGAUCAUCAACAUACAAGGAAACAAUUAACAAGGUUUCCUCCUGAUCCUUCUUAACAUAGAGUGUAGGCUCACUGAUACUCUUUGUGAACCCGAGCCUUGCUAAGUAGCCAUCAAUCCUCUCAUACCAGGCCCUUGGAGCCUGUUUUAGACCGUACAAAGCCUUUUUCAGCUUGUAGACCUUCUGUUCUUCACCAGUGACCAUAAAACCAUCAGGUUGCUCAAUGAAUAUUUCUUCAUUAAGAAAGCCAUUUAGAAAGGCUGACUUAACAUCCAGAUGAUGCACCUUCCAAUGCUUUUGAGCUGCCAAAGCUAGCAGCAAUCUGAUAGUAUCCAACCUUGCAACAGGUGCAAAGGUUUCAGAAAAAUCAACCCCUUGCUGCUGACUAUAACCUUUAACAACCAGUCUGGCCUUAUGUCUAUUAAGAGAGCCAUCUGCAUUGUUCUUAAUUCUAUAGACCCACUUUACACCUAUAAUUUUUCUGUUUUCAGGUCUGUUUACAAGCUCCCAUGUAUCAUUUUUCUGAAUCAUUUUAAAUUCAGCUUCCAUAGCAUCCUGCCAGCAUUUUUCUUUUGCAGCUUCUUCAAAACAUGAAGGCUCUACUAUAGUUACUGUACAUCUCUCAUAGAUGUCAGUUAAUGUCCUGGUGCCUCGAAUAGGUUGAUCAUCAUAGCCAUUUUCAAUUACUUCUUCAUUUUCAGCUUGCUGCAGAUCAACAUCAAUCUCUUCUUCAUCUGGCAAAUUUGCUUCAAUUCCAUCCCAUUUCCAGCUACUUGCUUCACUGAAUUUCACAUCUCUGCUCACUACAACCUUCUUGGUCAGUGGAUCAAAGACUCUGUAUCCUUUCUUCACAUUGCUGUAGCCAACAAACACCCCAGGCAUGGACCUCUUGUCCAACUUGGUUCUUCUCUCCUCAGGUACCAACACAUAACAUAGACAACCAAAUACCUUCAAAUGAGAGACAGAUGGUUUCUGUGCAAACCAGGCUUCAAAGGGAGUUUUUCCUUUGACUGCAUUAGUUGGCAACCUAUUCAACAGGUAAAUAGCUGUAUUCACAGCUUCAGCCCAAAAAACAUUAGGCAUAUUAGCCUCAAAUAACAAACACCUAGCAAAUAUCAAGGACUGUUCUGUUUUUCCUUUCACAAACACCAUUUUGCUGUGGUGUGUACACAGUAGUCAAUUGGUGUUGAAUUCCAGCAUCAUCACACAAUUUUUGAAACUUCUGAGAUACAUACUCAGAACCAUUGUCAGACCUCAAACAUUUUAGUUUGCAAUUUUCUUGGUUUUCGACCAAGGCUUUAAAUUUGCAGAAGGAGUCAUAAACAUCUGACUUAUGCUUCAAAAAAUUUACCCAACAGAACCUUGAAUAAUCAUCAAUGAAGAGUACAAAGUACCUGCUGCCAUUUAAGGAGGUAGUCUUCAUUGGUCCACAGAUGUCUGUAUGAAUAAGCUGAAGCUUCCCUUGUGCUCUCCAUGCCUUGUUGACUGGAAAGGGUAAUCUGGUCUGUUUGCCUAGCUGACAGACCUCACAUACAGCAUCCUUUGGCUCAAUUUUGGACAUAUCACUGACCAAAUCCAUUUUGUGCAGCAUGCUCAGUGAAUUGUAGUUCACAUGCCCCAUCCUCCUGUGCCACAAGUCUGUCUCAUCAGACUGAGAUGCGUAUGCCUUGGCUUGCAGUUGAUUCACAUCCACAAUGAAGGUUCUGUCUUGCAUAGCCACUGUAGUCAACACUUCACCAGCAGCAUUUUUGAUCAAACAGUUUUUGCCUUCAAAAAUCAGAGAGUAACCCUUCUCCAAUAGCUGGCCAACACUUAGCAAGUUUUGGUCAAUGUCAGGUACAUAGAGAACCUCUGAAAUGGUUUUAAUACCUGACUUAGUGCUUAUCAAAGCCUUGCCUUUCCCUUUUGCCUCUAGCAGCUCACCAUUGCCAAUUUUGACUUUGGACUUGAAGGUGGUGUCAAGCUCCUUAAAUAUACUCUUCUCAGAAGCCAUAUGGUAGGUACAUCCACUGUCAAUCAACCAUAUUUUACUAACUUUGCUCGAGCUUGCAAAGCAUGAUGCUGAAAAAAACAUGCUCUUCUGGUGAUUCAACCUCUUCUGCAGCUUGAGCUUGGCUUUGAAAUUGUGGUUGUGGUUUUGGCUUGCUCUUACAGACCUUUUCAAUGUGGCCAAAUUGCUUGCAGGCUCUACAUUGAAUGUCUGGUCUGUACCAGCAGUAUUUCUCAAGAUGAGUAGUCUUCUUGCAAUGGACACAAGGUGGGAACUUCCUUUUGACAGGUUCUUUCUUCUUUUUCUCAGUCCAGGGCUUCUUGCCUUUGGCAUUUAAGUUUGAACUUGAGCUUUCUCUGCUUCUAGCCUGAAAAGCUCCGUCAUAGUGGUCCUCCUGCCUAUUUGCCCUUCUCUGCUCUUGAGCAUAGAGAGCAUUUAUAAGCUCUGUCAAAGGGAUUGUUGACAAGUCCCUUGAAUCUUCCAGAGAAGAAAUUUUUGCUUCAUACUUCUCUGGCAAGGUUGUUAUGACCUUCUCAACCACUCUUUGGUCACUGAAUUCUUCCCCAAGCAGCCUUAUGUUGUUGACAGUAGCCAUGAUUCUGUCAGCAUACUGCUUGAUGGUUUCUGAGUCCUUCAUUUUGAGAUUUUCAAAAUCUCUUCUCAUGUUGAUCAGCUGCUGUUGCCUGGUCUUGUCAGACCCCUGAAACUCCUCCUUGAGUUUGUCCCAGGCCUACUUUGGAGUGUCACAAGCCAUUAUUCUUGUGAAAAUAACAUCAGAAACUCCACUUUGAAGGCACGACAUAGCCUUAUACUUCUUGGCACAGUCUUCAUUGUGCUGCCUAAUCUGGGCUAUAGUCGGGUUGGCUCUUAGUGGUGGUGGCUCAGUGUCAUUGAGAACAACAUUCCACAGGUCGUGUGCCUGCAGGUAUGUUCUCAUUUUCACUGCCCAGAUGUUGUAAUUUUCUCCAGCAAAGACAGGUGGAGGAGGUGGUGUAAAACUCAUUUUUCAGCAAGCAAAACAACCUCUUCUUCUUUUGUUUCAAACUCAAUUUGCUUAGUGACAGUGUACAACCAAGGCCCUCAAAGACUGAAAGCUCUUGAUACCAUUUGUUGGAUAAAAUGGCAGUAGCAAAGAAAGCAAAAACGAAUGAAAGAAAAAAAAAUAAAAGAAAAGAACUCAGCAAGAAAAUUUGUAACUAAGAAGUUGUCAUAAUUUCAUUCAAAUUUUGAAUAUAUGAUGGUUACAAAAGUAUUUGACAGUUACCUACUAAUUUAACUGCUCUUACUUACUAAAAAUAUAGCAACUUGUAUACAAAAGAAAGCUGGCAUACCAGCUAUUACAUCAGUCAAUCUUUCCUACUAACUUAGCUAACUCAUUACAAAGAUUUAGACUAAGUUCCAUAGGAACAAAUAUUCAAAAAGUAAUUUUAUAACUGAACCAACUCCAUUUCUUUGCUACAAAACAGUAUAGCAGCUCAAAUUGUACAAUUUGCUGCUGUUGGUCUUUUGACCAAUUUGUUGCUGUUGGUUCUUUGUUGCAAUGCAGGCCACGGCUUCAACACAAGGACAUGAAUAAGGAGGAAUUACAUAAAGUUUUGCAAGACUGUUUGAAUGGUAAAAGAUUUUUUAUGGUACUAGAUGAUGUCUGGAACGAGGACAAGAAGAAAUGGAGUGAGCUGAAAGAUUUGUUGUGUGGGGGAGCCCAAGGGAGUAGAAUCAUUGUCACAACUCGUGGCCGCAAAGUGGCUACAAUCACAGGCAUAAUCCCUCCAUACGAUUUAGAGCAUCUUUCUUAUGACAAUUGUCUAUCAUUGUUUCUUAAACUUGCCUUUAAAGAAGGUGAAGAGAAACAACAUGACAAUCUUGUAAGAAUCGGGGAAGGAAUUGUUCAAAAAUGCAAAGGGGUUGCUUUGGCCGUGAAGACUUUAGGCAGCCU
Molecule: long non-coding RNA, 5184 nt
Filed under: Gossypium barbadense (sea-island cotton)
Lineage: Eukaryota; Viridiplantae; Streptophyta; Magnoliopsida; Malvales; Malvaceae
Description: long non-coding RNA (GBAR_LNC015162)
Source: RNAcentral